AGCGUAGGCGGUUUUUUUAAGUGGGGUGUGAAAUCCCUGGGCUUAACCCAGGAAUUGCAUUCCAAACUGGAAGACUAGAGUGCAGGAGAGGAAAGUGGAAUUCCAAGUGUAGCGGUGAAAUGCGUAGAGAUUUGGAGGAACACCAGUGGCGAAGGCGACUUUCUGGACUGUAACUGACGCUGAGGCUCGAGAGCGUGGGGAGCAAAACAGGAUUAGAUACCCUGGUAGUCCACGCUGUAAACGAUGAAUACUAGGUGUUGGGGGCGAAGCCCUCAGUGCCGCAGUUAACACAUUAAGUAUUCCCGCCGUGGGGAGUACGAUCGCAAGAUUAAAA
RNAcentral lists this ribosomal RNA (334 nucleotides) under uncultured bacterium. RNAcentral describes it as "bacterial SSU rRNA". It matches the Rfam family "Bacterial small subunit ribosomal RNA", at positions 568 to 899 of the family's 1533-position model. The record is from RNAcentral.